AGAGCGAACGCUGGCGGCAUGCCUAAUACAUGCAAGUCGAACGAACACUUCGGUGUUAGUGGCGCACGGGUGCGUAACGCGUGGGAAUCUGCCCUUGGGUUCGGAAUAACAGUUGGAAACGACUGCUAAUACCGGAUGAUAUCGAAAGAUCAAAGAUUUAUCGCCCAGGGAUGAGCCCGCGUAGGAUUAGCUAGUUGGUGAGGUAAAGGCUCACCAAGGCGACGAUCCUUAGCUGGUCUGAGAGGAUGAUCAGCCACACUGGGACUGAGACACGGCCCAGACCUCCGUACGGGAGGCAGCGAAGUAGGGAAUAGUUGGACAAGUGGGACGCGAAGCCGUGGAUCCAGCAAUCGCCGCGUGAGUGAGUGAAGGUCCGUUAGGGUUGUAAACGUCGUACGUUUUAACCCGAG
RNAcentral lists this ribosomal RNA (410 nucleotides) under uncultured soil bacterium. RNAcentral describes it as "bacterial SSU rRNA". It matches the Rfam family "Bacterial small subunit ribosomal RNA", at positions 26 to 450 of the family's 1533-position model. The record is from RNAcentral.